This 4171-nucleotide long non-coding RNA is filed under the name Sus scrofa (pig). Its description in RNAcentral is "lncRNA (ENSSSCG00015008312.1)". Lineage: Eukaryota; Metazoa; Chordata; Mammalia; Artiodactyla; Suidae. The record is from RNAcentral.
GCAAGUCAUCUAGGAAAACCAGGAAAUGAGAACAUCAGAGUUGCUCAGAAACCAUACACAGAGGAUUUAAGGGGAUUUCUAUGAAUGACAGCUGAAUAUGGUAUAAAAUGAUGGCUAAGCUACCUACACAAAUACAGAUACAGCCUAGUAUGAUCAGGGUAAAAUAAUGCUGAGACUCUUAUGGGUUAUCCCACCCCUUUCAGGUCCUGCAGAAGUGUCACAAUUAUGUAGUCUUAUCUCAAUCAGCAGACUAACCUUCAUGCCAACCCCAUAAAAGGUCACACCUGACUCCCUUUGUUCUUAGUUCUGCCUCGAGUCCUUACACUGACCCAACACCCCUUCACCUUCCAGUUCUGUUCCUCAUGUUUCUGACCUCUGACCUUGUGACUCCUUUUCCGAUGAUAGUUCCAACUGUUUCCAGACUUAACCUCAGCAUUGCUGCCAAUGGUAUUUUUGUUUUGUUUUGUUCGUUACCGAGAGAUGGAUUUCUUCUUUGUCUCAGCUGCCAUGAGUUACUCUGUAAAUAACCUGAAUGAUCCAGCCAAAAUUUGAGACCUUGUCUAUCACCACAUACCCUUGAAGACAGGUGUACAUGAUAUUUUCAGAGGAACCAGAUCAUGAGAGAACACUCAAAUUGGAGACAAUUUCUGGGUAGAACUUCUAACUUCAAACCUGAGCCCCACAUUUAUUAUAGUGAUAAGGAUAUGGUAAAGACACCUUUCAAUAUGGUAAAAUUUCUACAUGUCUGUUCUCACAGGAAGGUCCAAAGCUCAUUUAGCUCUUCAAAUUAAUACAUAAUCUAUGAUCAUUUUGCUCCUCAUAUCUGGAUGGGAAAGAUGUUUAAUGGAUAAAUAAGAAGGUUUCUGUUUGUUGGUCUCUUUAUACAUCAUAGGAAAGGGUGCUUUUUUACUCCAACUCAAUCUUUUCUUGGUAUUGUUAUCAAUCAUGUUUGGAUCCCCCAACUUCAUAUUCUUGAAACUUUUUAAAAAUACCUUCUUGAGAAUUUGGAUGAGAGGCAAAAGUCAAGUGUGGGGAAGUCAAGAUCUAUCUCAGACCAAGUGUUGGUGUCAAUCAUCAUAAGACUUUUGAGGUUGUUUGAUUUCAUUCCUUCCAGAAAAGCCACUGUUUCCAUUCAAAUUCCUGCCAGCCAGUUUUUUAGCCUCUGCUUGCACUUUACAAGUAUCAUUUUUCUAGAUUAUAAUUCACUUUUCACAUUCACCAUGGAGUAAAUGGUAGAGAAAAGAGAUGGGAAAGAUCACAUGCUUCAGUCCUGAAACAUGAUCAACCACGGAAACCCAGGGGCCUUAUUGAUUUAGUAUUAGUUUGAGGGGAGGGACCUUACUGGGUGUGUCUUUAACACAGAUAUUUUAAGUGUGACAAAAAGAUCUUGGAAUGGACAAAAUGUAAUAUCUAUAAAUUGUUGAUUAUGGUUUACUGUGUCAAGCACUGUGCUAGGUACAUAUGGCAUGCAUUGACUCAUUUAUUCUUGAUAAUUCUGUGUUUAUCCAUCUUGCAAAUGAAAAAGCAGUUUCUUAUACAUAAUGCACUUGCUCAAGGUUACCAAGCCAGUAAUGGAUAGUCCCAUGUUCUUUAAACUCAACACCAAGCUCGUGCUCUCUCUCUGGAGCGAUAGUAGAUAAAAUCUCUCAUCUACUAGCCUUAAGACCGCUGAAUGGAACUGGAGUUUACAUGAUUUCCUUGAAUACAAGCAUCUGCUCCAAUGGCUUCUAAAUAAUUUACUCCCCAAAUUACACAUUUUUCAUUGCCUAAGAUCAUCGAAUUCUCAAAAUUUAGACCCAAAGUUCCACUGAAACCACAGAAUCUUAUCUGUUGACUGCUCAUGUUUUCUUAAUCCUACUGAAUACUAUUCUGACCUCCAAUUCCUUGAAAUCCCUCGUUUUCUUUUCACCUAUGCCCUUAUGUAUCUUCACUUUCUUUUCUACUGAAGUUGAAUCCACUCACCCAUCUCCACAUGUGCUCUUUCACCAAAAACUUUUCUGUGGUAUCCCUCUGCCUCUCUAUUUUGCCAGUUCAGUUCUCAAUUAAUCACUGCUUUGUUUCUUCCAAACUCUAAUUAUUGUUAUUGGUUCCUUAUUCCAAGCUUGCCUUAUUCUUAGUAGAAGAGCUUGUUUCCUAAUUUCCAGAGAAAAUAGAAGACUAAGGCCCUUCCCCCAUGUACUUGUGUCAGUCACCCUAAGUAUCUACAAGACUCACUCCCUCACCUCUUUUAAGACAUGUCUUCCCCCCGCCCAAUUCCAACCACCCUAUUUAAAUUAAAAGCAUCUUCUUCCUCGGCUGACUUGGUCCUCAGGUUUCUUCUUAAAGCAAUCACUUUCUAACACACUCUCUCAUAUAUAUAUAUAAAUAAACAUAUAUAUAAUGUUUAUUGUUAUUGUUUAUCUCCACCAGGUAGAAUAUAAGCUCCCCUGGAAGCUUUGUCUAUUUAGUACACUGAUGUACUUCAAGCACCUAAAACAGUACCUGGCUUGUGGUAGGGACCAGUAAAUAUUUGUUGGGUGAAUGAACAAAUAUGCACAAAUAUUUUGGUCCCUCACUUUCUUCCCUCUCAUAGGAAGAGGUUACUUUACCCAUCUCUAUGUAUGACAAAUCUGGAUAACUGCUACUGCAGAAAAGAUCGGGAAGAUGAUAUAAUUUGCUUGUUUACAUCUAAAUUAUGACUUUAUAAGAGAGCACUAAGGUUGCAUACUUGACAUCCAGUACAAGGAAUUUUCCCCUGUCAUUCCUUUUUCUACCUAACUAGGUCAAGGGCAGCAAAUGCAUUUGCUGACUCCCUCACCUCUGAUUAUCUCUCCGUAAAUCUGGACCAAACACAUAUCACUGCUGUACUCAAUCUCUGUCACUAAAUACACUUCCAAAACAACUGGCCUCCAGGUUGACCCAAAGGAACUGAUUUCUGCUGUAUUUCAUUUUCUGUGAUAGCUUUGGCCAAUGUCUUUUGUCAAUACAAGUGAAUUUUGUGCUGAUUAUAGUCUACCAGAGACUUCAUUGACACCAGCAAGUACAUUUCUCUUUGGAACACAAGUCAAACUUGUGUUAAAGUCCCCAGUGAACAAGAAUAGUUGAGUGUGGAGCAGUAAUGUAAUCGACUAUUAUCCCCUUUGGCUAAAAACUGUUCAUAUGGAAUCCACAGCCUGCAAAAUACAAUGCAAACACAUGCUAAUUACCUAUUUCCUGGGAUAAAAUAUGAUUAUAAAAAAUACUCUGUCAAGUAGACUGUAACUACAAAUACUGCAUUCCCAUACUUUGUCAGAGAACCCUUCUUAGAAGAUCUACUGCCUAUACCCUGAGGGCGUAAGUCCCACCGAACAAAUACAUCUUUUGGUAAUAUUUGAAAAUGUUAUUAUGGCCUGCCUUCUCAUUGUCCUUAAAAACAAACAAAUAAAACACAGUAGUUGUGUUCAGUCUAGUUUUGUGGUUGUCUUUAAUCCUUUUGUUGAUUCCUAUCUUUACCUGAAGUUGGUUUCAUUUUGUCUGUGCCAAAAGAUCUUUUUGAUUUUUAAGUCAAAUAUUGUAUGAAGUAGAAACAUGAUUGUGUGUUUUUUUGUAAUACUCUAUAUUUUUUUAAAAAAAGAGCAAUGAUUCAAUCUGCAACCUUUAUGUGUUGCUUAAAAGGAAUGAGGGCCAUCUGUUUGUCUGCUAUGAGGGUAAGGGAUUGAAGCAAUUUGUGGUUAAAUAAAUUAGGUGUGGAAUUGCUUUCUUUAUUGUUUCCACUGAACAAGUCUUUUCUAGCUUUUUUUUUCCUCUUUAAAUAAACUAUUGGAUUAGAGACCCCACUUCACUUAGACUAUGACAAGGCUAAACUAACAGUCAAUUUCCAAAUCACAAAUGGAUUUUGUCAUUAAAAUGUGUUUGCUAAGUUCUUUUGGUUCUGUGACCCACUAAUAAAUUUUUACAUAGAAAUGCAUUCCUAGAGUUCCUUCUGUGGCUCGGUAGUUAGUGAACCCAACUAGUAUCCAUGAGGAUGCAUGUUCAAUUCCUGGUCUCACUCAGUGGGUUAAGGCUCUGGCCUGGCUGUGAGCUGUGGUGUGGGUUGCAGAUGUGGCUCAAAUCCCAUGUUGCUUGGCUGUGGCUGUGGCUGUGGCAUGGGCUGGUAGCUUCAGCUCUGAUUGGACCCCUAGCCUGCAAAUCUCCAUAUGCCACAAGUGUGGCC